Non-coding RNA from Triticum aestivum (bread wheat), 131 nucleotides. Lineage: Eukaryota; Viridiplantae; Streptophyta; Magnoliopsida; Poales; Poaceae. The record is from Rfam.
CAUGUACUCCCUCCGUCCGAAAAUACUUGUCAUCAAAAUGGAUAAAAGGAGAUCUAGAUGUAUUUUAGUUCUAAAUACAUCUCUUUUUAUCUAUUUUGAUGACAAAUAUUUUCGGACGGAGGGAGUAUAUA